This 4007-nucleotide long non-coding RNA is filed under the name Panax ginseng (ginseng). Its description in RNAcentral is "long non-coding RNA (PGIN_LNC001014)". The record is from RNAcentral. Lineage: Eukaryota; Viridiplantae; Streptophyta; Magnoliopsida; Apiales; Araliaceae.
GCAGCCCAACCUUGGAAAUUUGGACUGGGCAAAAAUAAAAACGCCUAGACUCGGCAUCGCAGAUCGCAAAACAAAAAAAGAAGUAAUGAAGAAAGAAGAGAAGAUCAGAGAAGAAGAAGGGAGAUAAUCUUACCUAAGGGACUGAUCGUGAUCUCUUUUUUGGCUGCCAUCGAAAAGUAAUGUAUGAGGAGGAGGAGGAGGCGCAACGGCUAGGACUCCCAGCCUUCCAGUUUCAAUAAUAGCCUUACCCUUAUUUUUAAAACAAAGCCCAAACCCUUAUUUUUUAAACAAAGCCCAAGCCCUUUGUUUUAAAAACAAAGCCCACUCAUUUUUUUGAAUAAAGCCCACUUAUUUUUUUAAACAAAGCCCACUCUUUUUUUAAAACAAUGCCAAAACUCUUUUGUUUUUUAUAAAAAAAACAAAGCCCAAACUCUUUUUCUUUUAAAAUUCAAAGCCCAACCUCUUUCUUUAGAAGAAAGGCCAAAGUGAAAAAAGAAUGUGUGGCCAUUAAACUCAUCAGUUCUCUUAUGUAACAUUAAAAUUAUGCCAUAUUACAAAUAUUUCCCUCCCUUCCUAAUUAUACUUAAAGUUCUAAAGUUUACUAUGUUUCAAACUUCACUCCUAUACUUUCACUAAUAAAAUUUAAAUAAAAUAAAAUUAACUCCGCAUAGAGCACCGGCCUAGGAAAUUGCCUAGGUGCCACCUACAAGGCCUAGGCGCUCGAAGUCCCUCCACCGCCUAGGUUAGCGUCUAAGAGCUUGAAGAUGGUGAAUCCUUUUGUGUUCGAAUCAUAUUUAUGCAUAAUGUUCUACUUGCACGUCUUUUUGACUGAUUUGGUCUUUUCCCCUUUCAGCAAGUCUAAAGAUAUAUUUUUUCCUCUUGUUUAACUUAAUCUGUGCUCUCAUUUGGUGAUUUAUUAAUUUACAUGUGUUAUUGAAGGAAUAGAGUGCAACAAAUAGUUGGUUCCACACAUAAUUUGCACAGGGGCUCUGGAAAUGUGUUACCUCCACCAAUAGAUGAACACUUCAAUUACAGCAGUGCUACUGACAAGCCUAUUUUCAGAAGUGACCUGAAGGUAAAAUUUGUUGGUGUGUUAAAAUUUUGCUUGGCCUUUUAAAACUUGAAUUAGUAGUUUUUUGGGUGAUAAAAUAAUGUGGUAUGCUUAAUGAGAUGUGAAGAAACCUCAUUUGUGUUACAGGAGUCAAUUUUAUCUACAGCUUAUUAAGUUUCCAUUCUUGAUACUUGACUUGUUUGUUUCCGACAUUUUAAUCAGAUGCAUUUAUUAUUGUUUUCCAGGAUGUAGCUCUGGAUAUGGAAACAUCCAAUGCUCCGCCUUUAUCUAAAGAUAAAGAUGGAGGUGUCAGAGCACCUAACAAAAUGACUACCUUUGUAGAUAUUGUUGGACGGUCUAAUAGUUCUGGUCCAGAAAAGGAUGUAAAUGGGGCUGAAGAUAGGGGGGUUGUUAACGUAAGCUCUGAGUUGUCUUCAGUAGGCAUUCAUAAAGAUAAUCAUGUUGAGGCUGCACAUUCAGAUGCGAUGCUAUGUAGUUUUUCGUCUUCUAGUCCCCCUGCCAAUGGAUUUCCCAGUAAUAAAGAGUUUGAGCCAUUUAGAGAACCUUCAAAUCUUUGGGGCUUAGGAAGAGCUGAUGUAACUCCUAGUGGUGCAUUUACAAACGAAAAAUCUGGGUUGAUAUUAGAUUCUGAAAAACAAAUUUUACGUGGUCCAUGUAGUGCUGUGAAAGAUGAUUCUCUAUCUCUUAAUGAUGAAAGAUUGAAAGAUUCUGAAAGUUUAAGUCAGAUAGCUCCUCUGCAUCCUUCAUCUUAUCUUUCAAAGACUUCAGAGGAUUCUAGUAUUCAUGCCUGGUGGCAUGGAGAGUCUCGUAAUCUUAAUGACUAUAAUGUGGAUGAAGAUUCUAUGGCAUGUUUAAAUUCAAUGAAUGACGGAUGCAAUGAGAAAAAAUUUCAAAGUUCUGCUAAAUCAGAUAAGAUAUAUAGAUGUUCUAAUUCGUUCUCCAAUGAAGAAAUAGUAGAGCACUUGAGAAGGCUUGAUGAUGACGACAGGAUUCAUGAUGCUCAGAAUCCUAUGUUAGAGGCCGUAGAGAGCAGUAUAAUUUCAAAUAUCAUGUCGCUAAAUUUUGAUGGGGAUGAUAAUUCAUCGACUUUGCAUCCUAGUGUAGCUGGAUUAUUUGAUCAAACUGAUGGGCGACAAGGUUCUUCGUGGAACCUUUAUAACAAUGACCAAUCAGAGUUCUCAUUCGUAAAGCAAGUGGGUUUUGUGAAUCAGGUAACUGAUUUGGACUCCUUAAGUGAUAGUGGUCAGCACUUCAAGAAAUGUUCUUCGCAUCAGGACUUGGGGGAAAGCAAGGAGCACUACUCAUGUAAACCUCAGUAUCUUGGUAAGUAUCAAUUCUUUUCUUUUUUAAUCUGUUCAAUUAAACAAAACCUAUCUGCUUAUUGUUUCUAAUCUAUAAAAAGUUUGUUUAUCUUAAUAUCUUUGAACAUUUUAGGUAUGUACUACCUCUUUUCUUCUUCUUUUUUACCCAUCAAAACCUACUUGUGGCUGUUAUGUAUUAAACCCACAUCAUAGCGUGUUCAGACUUCCUGAUUUCCAGACCCCUAGUGUGGUCAGGACCCUUUCAACCCCUGUGGAGAUGCGGUCUUUUAAAAAGAAUUGUAGAAUAUUGAUAUACUAUGGAUGGUUGACUAUAUGCUUCACUUGUAAUUGUUUUCAAUGCAUUUUGUUCUUUUAAUAAAUCUUUAUUUCAAGAUUUAGUUGAUUGCAAUUUGCAACUGAUUGUAGAGUGUGUAGUGGGAAGAAAUAUAUGAAUUUUGAUAUUCUCUGGAAUAGGUGUCGACUAGGAAAUUUCAAUUCGACUGCUAUUGCACAUCUUGUAACAUUGUACAGUAUCUGGCAACCUAAUAUUAGUUGGUUUUGAUCCCGUUAUCAGUGGCCAGGUCUAUUAGCUUUUAAAAGUCUAAACCAUAUGAUUGUAGCUAAUCUCACAGUUAGUUUUUUAAGUGCCAAUCUCAAAGGGGAUCAAGUUGUAAACUGUAGUUUAAAGGUACACAGAUGAUAGUUUAUGGUUUGUAGGUCUUCCAUCCUGCCAUUUGAUUGCAUACAUUGUGUUCUAGUAGUAAUCAAUUGUUGUUUCCAUGUAAUAACUUUCGAGUCUUUUCCCUAAUAUUGUGUUGUUUUAUUUUAAUCAACAGUGUCCAGGUCUCAAGGCCUGGCUCCACCAGGAUUUUCCUUGCCAUUAAGAGAACCACCUCCUGGAUUUCCUGCAUCUGAGAGAUCAGAUCUGGUUUUCCAUGCCAACUCUGGUACAAUUUUCUCUCUCUCUCUCUCUCUCUGGGCUGUCUCCCUUGUUAGUUCAUGAUUUUUGUAUACUACGCGUGUACUUAGGCAGCAUCCUCUUUUGAUGGUUUCUUCCUUAUAUAUACCAUCAAUUAUUUAUCAGAAAAACACAUAUCCUUCAUCAUCCCCCCCACCAAAUGAUGAGUCAUUGGAUUGCUUACACUUUGUUCCUUUUUAUACGCCUUUCAUUUCUUUCAGGGACUCACAUGGUCAAGGCGACUUCUUUUUCGAAAAAUCAUUAUCGAACACCCUCAACUGGAAAUAGUAGCAACACUAGCGAUGCUGAUAUUAUUGAUCCAGCCAUAAUGUCUGUUGGUAGAGGUAGACCAACAAAUGGAUUAACCAACUCAUGUUUAGAUAUGAGGUCAACUUAUGCUUCGCAACCAAGUGCAUUCGAUGAUGAGGCAAGACUUUGGCUAUUGAUGCAACAAUCUGCUCCUGCACAUCAAGACUCGAAAUAUGCUCAAACCUACAUGCAACAACAACAAGCUCCAACUGCACAUCAAGACUUGAAAUAUGCUCAAACCUACAUGCAACAACAAGCUGCUCAAACCUACAUGCAACAACAGGCUCCAACUGCACAUCAGGAAGUUAGAAAUUCCGGUCAAAUUGGGGAUAGGUAUUCUUCUUGGGAUGAUAUAUAUGGUGUCUCU